Molecule: ribosomal RNA, 253 nt
Filed under: uncultured bacterium
Lineage: Bacteria
Description: partial 16S ribosomal RNA
Rfam family: Bacterial small subunit ribosomal RNA
Source: RNAcentral
UACGAAGGGGGCUAGCGUUGCUCGGAAUCACUGGGCGUAAAGGGUGCGUAGGCGGGGCUUUAAGUCAGGGGUGAAAUCCUGGAGCUCAACUCCAGAACUGCCUUUGAUACUGAGGAUCUUGAGUUCGGGAGAGGUGAGUGGAACUGCGAGUGUAGAGGUGAAAUUCGUAGAUAUUCGCAAGAACACCAGUGGCGAAGGCGGCUCACUGGCCCGAUACUGACGCUGAGGCACGAAAGCGUGGGGAGCAAACAGG